Molecule: small RNA, 148 nt
Filed under: Papio anubis (olive baboon)
Lineage: Eukaryota; Metazoa; Chordata; Mammalia; Primates; Cercopithecidae
Description: Metazoan signal recognition particle RNA (ENSPANG00000039930.1)
Source: Rfam by way of RNAcentral
GCCGGGCGCAGUGGCGGGUGCCUGUAAUCCCACCUACUUGGGAGGCUGAGGCAGGAGAAUCGCUUGAACCUGGGAGGUGGAGGUUGCAGUGAGCCAAGAUCGCACCACUGCACUCCAGCCUGGGUGACAGAGUAAGACCCUGUCUCAA